GGAAUACUAGGUGCUGUAAGCUUUUUAUUUGGAUCAGUGUUUUCAUGGCCUCUGCACAACAUCCUGUUUUGGGAUAAAGGUUGGACACAGGUUUGAAGGGGACCCAAUCAAUCAAUCAAUCAGGGACCCAAUCAAUCAAUCAAUCAGUCAGUCAGUCAGUCAGUCAGUCAGUCAGUCUUUUGAUUACACUAUUUAAAUAGCCCCAUUUGGGGUCAGCUUUCGCUUACGGCCAUACCACUCUGAAAAAGCCUGAUCUCAUCUGACCUCGGAAGCAAAGCAGAGUUGGGCCUGGUUAGUACUUGGUUGGGAGACUGAA
Molecule: long non-coding RNA, 316 nt
Organism: Ictalurus punctatus (channel catfish)
Lineage: Eukaryota; Metazoa; Chordata; Actinopteri; Siluriformes; Ictaluridae
Source: Ensembl